CAUAAAAUGAUAAAGUGAAAAUAUAAAGAAACUUGAGGGUGAGGAUCUGGAAAAUAUUGGCAGCAAAUUGCAACACACUGUAUGUACCGUCAGUUUCAAAGACCCAGUUUUCUGGGGUUUUUUUCUAGACAAGCACUUUAUCAUUUAUACAUUUUAAAAAUAAAAGAGUGACAUAUUUAUUUUAGGAAUGAAUAAAACACUAAGUCCACAGCAGCAUUAAAUUAAAGAAUAUCACUGAAAUUCCCAGUAAGAUCCAACUUGUUCUGUGCUGGGGCUAUAGCUUAGAGGCAGAUCACUUUUUGACUAUAAAUAAGGGCCUCAGUUCAAUCUCCAGCAAACUCCAGCGCGCGCGCGCACACACACACACACACACACACACACCAUUUAACCUGUUGUAUAUCAGGGUUUCUCAACAGCAGCACUAUUAGCACAAAAUUCUUUCUUUUGGGGGAACUGUCCUGUGUAUUAUAGGAUGUUUGCAACACUAUUACCAGUAGGAACUCCUAGUAAUGGCAAUCAAAAAUGUCUCCUGCCAUUGCCAAAAUUGCUCCAAGUUGAGAGCCACUAUUAUACAUCAUUUAAAGAAACAGAUUGUGAAACAUGUGAUACAUGUCUCAUAUAAAAAUGAAUGUCAUAAGUACAUAUUGUCUUAGCAAGGUAAAUUAUUAUACCCAAAAUUACAUGUGUGGUUCAUAAGCAAUAAAAUACAGUUUUGAGGAACACUUUAUGAAUCAUUGAAAAAAUAUAGCAUAUUUUAAAGCACACUAAGAAAAUAUCAAAAAGGACACUGUAGCAUUUCACAAUAGAAGUGCUUAAAACACUAGCUUCAUUAAAUAGAUCAAAAGUUUAUAUAAUUAGCACAUCCUUUGGAAGUAAACAGGUACUUCUAUUUACUGAAGUGCUUAAAAAGACCAGAUUAUUCUAAGCAGUUUACAUGUCCUUACAAAAUUGUUUUUAUAAGCCCUUUCUUAAUGCAAGGUAACUUUAUCCCAGAAGCUCCUGACUAGUAGAAUCCAAAUUAAUGAGGUUUUACUGUAUCGAAAUUAUUUUGUAAUUCAAAGAGACAGCAAUAACAAGAAUCUAGUGUGGAUGUGAUUUUUCUCUUUGAACAUCUGUGUUCUGUUGCACUGACCUUGGCAUACACACACGCACAUGUACACACGCACACACGCACUCACGCACUCACCACCACCAUCUCAUCGUUAUCAUCAUCUUAGGAAAAUGAGUACAGUUGAUCCAUGUAAUUUUUUGCAUCUUCUCUGCUCUCCUGUGUCUUGGAACUUAAGAAAAAUAUUCCUAGUAACUUAUACAAAGAUACAGAAGAUGACCCUGAGCCUUGGUUACCAUCAAAAUUGAAAACUGCAUUGUAUCUGCUAAGGUAGCGUCAGAAGAUAAGACUUAACAAACUACAGUCUUGACAAGUUGACUUUACCUUCCUACGACUUCCUCAAGACAUAAACCCUUUUUAAUGUUCCAGCAGAAAAUGAGCCUUUCCAUUCUAUUUGUCAAUGAGAAGAUGGAAGUAUUUGUUUCCCAGUUCUAAGAAUAAUGUGAGCAAUAAUUUUCCAUUUUUCUUGCACUUUGGAGGGAGAAUGAAUGAUUUAUCAUUUAUUUUAAUCCCCUUUAAAAACAGUACUGCUGACUUUGUUUCCUUCAUUGAGCUCCAGACUUAGUGCUCCAGUCACCAUCAGGGUCACUGUGGCUUUGGUAGGACAGUGACAGAGCUAAGUGAGAUGUUUUCAAGUAAUUCAGUCAUAAAGACAAUCUUUUUCAAUCUAUCGGAAUUGAUUCUCAAUAAGUCAAAUCCAGGCCUAGGCCUGUACCCACAAAAUUUUUAAGGAAUCAAAGGAAAAAAAUUCCUUUUUAUACAGUACAUAUAUGCAGUUUUAAAGGUACCCAUUAUCUACAUGACUCUGGGAGAGAAAAGAGUAAGAAUAGAUCUGAAAUUAGUUGAAGAAGAUUAAGGUAGGUUAUUUAACAUAUUUGACCAUAAAAUGUUUGGACAGAGGAAAAGAUGAAACUGGUUGGAAGAGUAAAUGAAAAAUCAUCUCUUUGGUUUAGGAUUAUUGGACGACCCAGAGUAUAUCUAAAUGACCACAAGCUGCCCCAUAGGAAAAAAGAAUACUAUGCCCUGAACACAUUGAUUAGGAGAGGACAGUGCCCAAAGGAGUCAGCAGGUCAUAUCAGGUCUUGCUCUCUGCAUUAGGAGAAAUGUAAUAGCCUUCACAGCUUCUUCACCUGUCUUCUUCACCCAACUCCAUUUUUAGAUGUGUACUAUUUCAUGUGCACAGUGCUCUAAGUGUCACAAAUAGUGGUCAUGGGCUUAGAUUGAGCACCAUCUCUAACAUGUACCAUUCCAGAGGGCAUCGUUGUCAACAGAAUGAGUUAAGUGUGCAUAUUUGCAAACCACAUAGCCCUGAGUGAAAGAAAUUCAGAGUAGGUAAGGUCUAACUUGGAAAAGGAGGAGGAAGUGCUAUUGUGGUGCAUGAGUGUGUGGGGAGGGACAUGGAUCCUGAGGAAAGCGGGAGAGGUUUUGAUGGGGAACAGAAGCACAGACAAAUACCUUUAUUUAUAUAUUUAUCUAGAGGAGGAUCCUCAAACUUGGCUGUACAUAAUAAUUACUUGAUAUUUUAAAAUUCCCAAUUAUAUCAAAAUUGCUUGGAGUAGGAACCAGACAUCAGUAUUUUUGAAAGCACCCAGUGUGGCUCCAGUGUCCAGCCACAGUUGCUAACUACUACGUUAUGACUAGCGUUAUGACCAUCGAAGGAAGACAUGUUUGUCUUCCUUUUCCAGUGUCCCAGCCUUCCAGUGUCUGGGAAAGCAGAUGUAAGAGAUACAAUAUUAACUGGAUUGAUAACUUUUUCUGUGCCUCUCACAGAAUAAAAGUAUGUGUGAAUUUCUGACUAGGCAGUGACCCAUUACCUCUUAAUAAUUCUAUUAUAUUCUCAUAUGUGACUUGCCCAUAAAUUAUUUCACUUCAAACAUACCAAGUUUUUGAUUGUCUUCUACAUGUGACAAAACAAAAUACCAGAAAUAUCAUGGUAAAUUAAACAGCAUGUGAAGCUAAAUGGAUUCUCAAUGUUUGGACAAUAGAAGUUCUCAAAGUAAUCAUUAUUAAAUCGGGUCCAAAUUUAUUAUUCAUUCUUCUUUUGGAGGAGACAUGGGUACCAGGUACCUGUUCUGCUAUAGGUAUAUUUUAUUGGACUUGAUUUAAACAAAAAGGAAAAACAACUCUUCCUUCUUGAUUGUUGUCUCAAUCAAAAGCUCCCAGGGCCACUUAGAUUUAUUUUCUUGGUUAUUAUGUAUUUAAAUGGAAAAGAAUGCCUGUAAUUUACUAUCUGACCUCCAGUGGCCUCAAAAGCACUUAUACAUUCAAAAAGGAGAGCCCAGCCUAUCAAGGGCAAUAACACAUAGUGAGAAAAAAUUCCAAGUCAUCUCCUCUAACACUGCUUCUCCUCUGGUUUGGGCCCACCCUUCUCACCUGCAAAGCCAGAAAAUAAACUUGGUGGUGGUUUUGGGCAAUUGUACACAGGAUCAAAAUUAUAACCUAUAAUUUUUAGUACUUAAUUAUGUGAUGUUUUAUUCUAGGAAAUAAGAAACAGAUGACACCAUUGAUGUAUCUUUCAUCUUCAGAAUUUUUGCAUCUUUUCAGAAAAUGACAAAUUACUAUUUUUCUGUUGCACUCAGCAAUUGUGACUAUACUUAAAAUUCU
Molecule: long non-coding RNA, 3712 nt
Filed under: Marmota monax (woodchuck)
Lineage: Eukaryota; Metazoa; Chordata; Mammalia; Rodentia; Sciuridae
Source: RNAcentral